UACGUAGGGUGCGAGCGUUGUCCGGAAUUAUUGGGCGUAAAGAGCUUGUAGGCGGUUUGUCGCGUCUGCUGUGAAAAUCCGGGGCUCAACCCCGGACUUGCAGUGGGUACGGGCAGACUAGAGUGUGGUAGGGGAGACUGGAAUUCCUGGUGUAGCGGUGGAAUGCGCAGAUAUCAGGAGGAACACCGGUGGCGAAGGCGGGUCUCUGGGCCGAUACUGACGCUGAGGAGCGAAAGCGUGGGGAGCAAACAGG
RNAcentral lists this ribosomal RNA (253 nucleotides) under uncultured bacterium. Its description in RNAcentral is "partial 16S ribosomal RNA". It matches the Rfam family "Bacterial small subunit ribosomal RNA", at positions 524 to 776 of the family's 1533-position model. The record is from RNAcentral.